ACUUAAAUAGUUUAAUUGAAAAUUUUAAUUUGUGGAAUUAAAGAUGACCUUGGUUUUUAAGUA
This 63-nucleotide transfer RNA is filed under the name Scolytinae sp. BMNH 1040118. Its description in RNAcentral is "tRNA-His". Lineage: Eukaryota; Metazoa; Arthropoda; Insecta; Coleoptera; Curculionidae. The record is from RNAcentral.